This 406-nucleotide ribosomal RNA is filed under the name uncultured bacterium. Its description in RNAcentral is "partial 16S ribosomal RNA". It matches the Rfam family "Bacterial small subunit ribosomal RNA", at positions 30 to 526 of the family's 1533-position model. The record is from RNAcentral.
AUUGAACGCUGGCGGCAGGCCUAACACAUGCAAGUCGAACGAGUGGCGGACGGGUGAGUAAUGUCUGGGAAACUGCCUGGUAGAGGGGGAUAACGUCCGGAAACGGGCGCUAAUACCGCAUACUAUCAGAUGAGCCUAGGUGGGAUUAGCUAGUUGGUGGGGUAAAGGCCUACCAAGGCGACGAUCCGUAACUGGUCUGAGAGGAUGAUCAGUCACACUGGAACUGAGACACGGUCCAGACUCCUACGGGAGGCAGCAGUGGGGAAUAUUGCACAAUGGGCGCAAGCCUGAUACAGCCAUGCCGCGUGUAUGAAGAAGGCCUUCGGGUUGUAAAGUACUUUCAGCGGGGAGGCGUUACCCGCAGAAGAAGCACCGGCUAACUCCGUGCCAGCAGCCGCGGUAAUAC